UAUAUAGAGAGAGAGAGAGAGAAGAGAUAUAGCAAAAAAAAAAAAGAAGAAGAGAAAAAUCAGUGUGUACAGCAAACAUUCUUCUUGGACAUAGAAGAAAGAAUUUAUUUGAGAAGAAUGUUUCAUCGUGGUGUUAUUUAUCGUUAGCAUGUAGUGCUUUGGGAUCAUCAGUUUUUUUAAUAGAAUCCUUUACCGGAUUCCGCUCAAUUAUUAAAUCUUCAUCGGGACGAUGUUUGUCAGGACUUUACAAUUACUUCCACAUUGAAGAUACUUUUUUUUUCUUCCCUCUAUAAAUUAAAUACUUUUGUACCAGCAACGUAACAUUGCGAGAGUGUCUCAAUCGUACCGUUAUAGGGUAUCGUUUAUAUAGUUUAAUUAUAUUUAGUUUCUUUUUUUUUCAUUUUUUCUUUCGAUAUUUAUUAUGUCGACGAAAAUUUAAAAGUAGUAAAAAAAAUAUGAGCAUAUCGUUGGAUGCAUAAAUUCGUUCAAUCUUUACGCUCGGACCUUGUGGUGAAGAAAAAUUCGGUGACCUUGACAGUCCUGGAAGGUCAUCGACACAGUUGGUGUGCCGCGAUUCCAAAAUAGGAAUCGUGGGGUGAUUUUUAAAAGUGUGUUAAAGUGUAUAAUAACUAAUUUUUUUUUCUUUUUCCAUUUUUUCUUCUUAAACCAUUAACUCGUUCAGUGUCCGCCAACGCGUGCGGACCCAUAAUCAUUGUUCGCAAAGAUGCCGAAGAUUUUUCUCAUCAAAAAUCGACUUCACCAGCAACAAUUAAGACUUCUUGAAGCUCAACAUGUUGGCAAAAGUCCUUCCCCUUGCAGCGGUAAGGAAAGUCCACUUGGUACCUCGGAACCGCUCAGUCUAAUUGUGAAUAAACAUCAAUAUCGCGAUAAAACUGAGGACGAUCGUGCUACUACACCGGAAUCAUUAAGAAGCAGUAGUCCAGUACCAUCGCCACCACCAGUACCAUGUCAAUCAACAAACAACACACCAUCCAAUACACCACCGAGACGUUUUAUUUCAAGUAUACUUGGUGGAGAUGUACCUUAUGGAAGUAGAGGUCACGUAUUAACACGUGCAGAACGCAAAGAAUACAGUUCACCACCGAUUAUUCCUACACCUUCCGGAGAUGCACCUCAAUUUAUUACAAAAACAGAAAAACUCGUAUUACCGAGGCCACCCACCCCACCGAAGGUUCCACGUGUCGAACCACCGACCAGAGUCUCAGUGAUUCAGAGGGUACCACACCAGAGUCAAGGUAACUCCAGAAGGGAAGAGAAGAUCGAAGUUCCUCAAAGUCAGGAGCCUGAGCAGGAUCAACCAAUAGAUUACGCUGUACCGAAAAGAAAGGAAGAAGACGAUGAGAGAGGUCGUGAGACCGCAAAAGCAUCACGAACCAUAUGUAAUUCUAUUGCCAGACCACUAUUGGCUAUGAGGCUUUCCGGGCCACAAAUUGUAACGGUAGGACUUGGAAGGACCUCUAACUCCGGCAAUAAUGGCUCUUCCGGUUCCAAUUCUAGUUCAAGCGGUAAUAAUUCGUCUUCUUCGGGCUCGUCUUCAUCGUCGAACUCCGGUAAUUCCUGUAGUUAUUCCGGAGGUGGAUCAUCCGGUGGGGGAGGUGGUGCUGUGGGUGGCGGUGCUGGUGGAGGUGGAAUGAAUCCUGGUGGUAAUGGGGGUCGAGGUAAUUAUGCCCCAAGUUCACCACCUACGGGUUCAUUACCACCAUUUUACGAGUCUCUCAAAGGUGGUAACAACCUGGCCAAUUUUGCAAACCAAUAUACCACCAGUCAAGGUAAUAACUACCUCACGCCGACCCCAGCAAUAGGAAUGGAAUGCGAUACGGGACAACAAGAUGUUAACUCGCAGCAUGCACAAUACAAUGCGCAGGAAGGCAAACAGUAUUCGUUACUGCAAAAUGUUUGUGCCUCCUAUGGUUUGGCACUUAAGGAAGAAGAGGAUCUUUCUGCUUAUAAGAUCCAACCGAAUGAUUUAUUAUCCGGUCAAUAUAAUACAUAUGACGUUACGGAAAACGGAAUGAUGGUCGACAUGGUGACAGGUGCAGUUGUUGAUCCAUUACAAAUAACAGCUACGUUGACCUUCAGCUCACCAUCUGAUCAUACGGCAUUGUUGGAAAGCCUAAGCGACGCGGCUGAAUUUCUAUUACCUAAAUUACAAUCAGGAGAAGGAGGGAACGAUUUACUCGAGGACUCGUUACAUUCGCCAGCCUCGGCUGGGAGUGGCAUAGUUCAAGAUGCAGGUCAAAUGACCACGCCCGUCGAACCCAGCGUAGACCCUUUUCCUGAGCAUAAUAUAGCCUUAACGAGAGGCUUCGAUGCAUCAAGGCAUUACAAUGGAACACAGCAACAGUUCAAUACUAAACUGGUUGGUUUGACCUAUGCCACUGGGGAAACUGGUUAUCAACCAAUCGCGAAAGAGCGAUCGGAAUUGGCAUUGCAUUUAAAUCAAAAUCAUCAGAAUCAAUCGGAACCGCAAUUGCAACAAUUGCAAAUACAAGUGCAAUUGCAGCAACAUCAGCAGCAGCAACAACAACAACAACAGCAACAACAACAGACUAAUAAUAUGUCGCCCCACCAUUCGCAACAGCAUCAAGGAUUGCUGAGCCCUGGUCUCAGUUUUGUUGGUAGCGGUGAGUUUCACUAUGUAUUUAGUGGUUUGGAAUUGGAUUCUGGUAGCAGCGUUGGUGGAAGUUUACCAAGUCCCGGUGCAACAAGUUGUUCUUUGGAUGGUGCUUCGACCAGCACAUCUCCGUCAUGUGCGUUAAUGGAACAUGCACCGAGUCCACCAAUUGGUGGAGUAUCGAACGGUGUGAACACUCAAGUAAACGGACAAGUUGCUGAACCUCCUUUAUCUCAACGGGUCGGUGUACUACAGCAAAGGUUGGGAUUACCAGGUGACUGUCAAUUAGAAUUCGUUAAUGGUGGUCAUGGUAUAAAAAAUCCUUUAGCUAUCGAAGGACAAAGACAAGCCACUACCAGUCGUGAAGAAGACAGAGCAGCACGACCAACAUCUGGAAAGGAGGAUGGACCAAUACGCUUCACUUGUCGCGUUUGCAGCAAACAAUUUAACUUGCAGCGGCUUUUAAAUCGACAUAUGAAAUGCCAUAGUGAUGUUAAACGCUACCUAUGUACAUUCUGUGGUAAAGGAUUUAACGACACAUUUGAUUUGAAAAGGCAUACGAGAACGCAUACAGGAGUGAGACCGUACAAAUGUAAUUUAUGCGAAAAGAGUUUCACUCAAAGAUGUUCUCUUGAAAGUCAUUGCCUAAAGGUUCAUGGUGUUCAACAUCAGUAUGCUUACAAGGAGAGACGUACCAAGGUUUACGUAUGCGAAGAAUGUGGACAUACUACUCAAGAACCGGAAGUACAUUAUCUUCACCUAAAAGACAAACACCCGUAUAGCCCAGCUUUACUCAAAUUUUACGAUAAACGUCACUUCAAGUUCACUAACAGCAAUUUCGCCAACAUGUUGCUACAGGUGCGCACGUAGACUCUCGAUCUAGUUUUGUCGUUAAACAAAUAAACAAAACAAUACACAAAUUUGAUUGAUAAGUUCUUAAGAACAAUUACAAUCGACAUCAAUUUCUGAUUAACGUGGAAAAGGAAAAGGAAUCGAAAGUGAGGGGUCUGGGAGGUGCUUAGAAAUUAAGGUGGCAUGCUGCAACGAGACUCGAGGAUUUCGGAAAGCUGCGUUAAGUCGGCCUCUAAAAGCAUCGACAAACCACUGCAGCGUGCCAC
RNAcentral lists this unclassified non-coding RNA (3753 nucleotides) under Polistes dominula (European paper wasp). RNAcentral's name for it is "protein ovo-like, transcript variant X5". The record is from RNAcentral. Lineage: Eukaryota; Metazoa; Arthropoda; Insecta; Hymenoptera; Vespidae.